AGCUGCCGCGGUAAUUCCAGCUCCAAUAGCGUAUAUUAAAGUUGUUGCAGUUAAAAAGCUCGUAGUUGAAUUUCGAGACCGGUCUACUGGUCGUGCUUUUGUACGUACUGGUUUUAUCGGUUUCUCCUUUCUGACGAACUAUAAUGCCAUUAAUUUGGUGUUAUAGGGAAUCAGGACUGUUACUUUGAAAAAAUUAGAGUGUUUAAAGCAGGCUCACGCUUGAAUACAUUAGCAUGGAAUAACGGAAUAGGACGUUUGAUUCUAUUUUGUUGGUUUCUAGGAUCGACGUAGUGAUUAAUAGGGAUAGUUGGGGGCAUUAGUAUUCAAUUGUCAGAGGUGAAAUUCUUGGAUUUAU
Molecule: ribosomal RNA, 355 nt
Filed under: uncultured Glomus
Lineage: Eukaryota; Fungi; Glomeromycota; Glomeromycetes; Glomerales; Glomeraceae
Description: SSU rRNA
Rfam family: Eukaryotic small subunit ribosomal RNA
Source: RNAcentral